This 2534-nucleotide long non-coding RNA is filed under the name Ananas comosus (pineapple). RNAcentral describes it as "long non-coding RNA (ACOM_LNC002904)". The record is from RNAcentral. Lineage: Eukaryota; Viridiplantae; Streptophyta; Magnoliopsida; Poales; Bromeliaceae.
AAAAAAAAAUAAAAAGUUGACUAAAUACUCCUCACUUGGAUCUAAACCCACUUGUUUUCUUUGCUUUCUCACCUGUUGAGAGAAGAGUUUCCCCUUCCAACUCCCCCUCUAACUAUAGCCACACAUUUUAAGAUCUAGUCCUUUCUAAAGUCAAGGAUUCAUUAAUGAAUCAUAAUGAUAAUGAUGUUACAUUAAAAAAAACUUAAACCUUAUUAUUAUAAGUUAUAAACUCAUAAAAUACUUCUCUAGAGUGUUAUAGGCAACUUUUGUAUAUUUGUAGGCCAUGAAAUUAUGUAUGGCCUCUAUAUUAUUAUCCUGACUUUUCACACUGUAAUCUCUGGUCCUUAUACUUUUUCAAUAAAAUAUUUUAGUCGCUGAGCUUUUACUUAUAUUAUAUUUUAGAAUAUAAACAUUAAAUUUUCUCACUUUUAUUGUGAAAUGAUCUUUUUAGCCUAUAUGGGAUUAUGAAUUAAAAUAAGUGAGGCAUUUUACUAAAUAAAUAAAAUAAUCAUUUUUACGAAAAAGUUGCAUUAUUUUUCUAUAUCAAAGCCUAAAAUAUACAACUAGAGUGUUUAAUUCUCUGUUUGAAAUUUGUGGAUCAAAUUUGUUGAACACAGCGAAAAAAUAUGGUAAAAAAAUGCUAUUUAUUUACAUAAGUAACAACAUGUCACAUCGAUUGUAGUAGCUUAGUUCAGCUAUAAUUUUUUCAAUUUUAUUAAGAAAAAGAAAAAAAAAUAUGCAUGUUUCUAUUUCUAGUCUAAAAAUGUUAGAUAAUUUUCAAUACUAAAUAAAUGUAUGCUGAGUUUCUAUUUCAGUCUCGAACUUCUUAUUUGAUUUUUAUUCUUUAUAUUUACUUAGCAAGAACGUUAGAGCGAAAAAUCAUAUUUUUUUAAGAAACAAAAUAAAUUAUAUCGUAACUAAAAUAUAUUAUUUUAUCAAAUACAAAUAUUCAAAUCUUUAAAAAUAUAAAAAAAAAUUAGACUCGUUACUUUCCAUCUUAAUAUAUAAGAUAUAAAAUACAAAUUGCAAUGUUGUUAAUAUAGUAAAGGUAGUAGAAUCCAAACACAAGUACACAAUCCGUAUCCUUUAGUAUGAGCCUACACAGGUUUUUCCUUUUCUUUUCUUUUUUUUUCUAUUUGAUGAUGUUAUACUUAAAAAAAAAAAUUAAUUUCAUAUAUAUUCCUACAAACAUAAUAAAUAAUAGAUAUAUAUAUUUAUAAUGUUCAAUUAAUUUUUAUAUAUUGUCUCUAUAAAAAUUCUGAUAUUUUCAAAUAUGUUCAUGUUGUUAGAAUCCGUUAGAUAAAUUUAAUUAAUCAUAACUUAAAUAUUUAAUACUAAUUAAUUUUUAAUAUUUUUAUUUUUUUAUAUUAUACUGUUGUGAUUUUUGAAAAAGAUAUAUUUGUGAUAGCAAAAUUGAAAAUAUAAAUAGUUCUCUAGCGGUUCUUUAAUAGUAACAAAUUAAAAGGAUAUAUUUAAAAAUAUCAGAACUUUUGUAAGAACAACGUAUAAAAGUUAAACUUUAUAGUGAAAUAUUUAUAAUUUACUAUAUUUAUAAAAACCUUUAUAAAAUUAAUUUAAAAUAAAAAAUAAAAAUAAAACUAAAAUCAGAAAAGGUAAGAUGUCAUCCCUGGUCCCCUCCUCCUACUUCCCACCCGCUUUCCAGAGAGAGAGAGAGAGAGAAAGUAGAGAGAGAAGGGAACAGACAGCAACAGCGAGAGAGAGAGAGAGGGAAGAAAGCAGAAGGCGGGCAGCGCUGAACAGCAGGCAGCGCCGCACCAGCGAAAGCGACGGCUGGCUGCUGCGCCUAAAAAUCUUAAAAUCUCCUCCUUUUUAUUCCCCUCGGAAGCACCCAAACACAAAGCCAAAAAUACAAAAACAAAGGAUAUAAAAAAGGAAAAAAAAAAAAGAAAAGAAGAAAACAACAGGAAAAAAAAAAAACACUCCCACUCAACACCACCACCACCCAACUCCACCUCCGCCCAACAACACUCACCCACUCACACCUACAACUCUCUUUUAGAGAGAGAGAGAGAUGAGAGAGAAAAAGAUAUCUACUACUAUUUGAGAGUGCAGGAUUGUGUCGAAAACUUAUCCUGCCGUGUUUUUCGCUGUUAGAUCUACUCUUUUGAUCAUUUUUUUCUGUUAAAUCAUACUAUUCAAUCAAUCACCCACUCAAUCCAAAAGGGCCCACAUCAUUCUAACCGUAUAUCUCUUAAUCUAAUAGCCAAAAACUUGGUAGCAUCAAUUACUUAGUGCUAUUAAUAGUAUAUUAGCCUAGUUUUAUAUAUAUAUAUAUAGCGAGAAAUAAUAAUAUAAAAAAUUAUUUUUUAAAAAAGUAAAAUAUUUUAACUAUUUUUUAUUAUGCUUAUUAAUUUUUUAAAAUUUUAUCGAAAAAAUUCCUUACUAAUUUACAGUAUAGAGAAUUUUGAGCUGUGACGUUGGUGUGGAAACUGUAUCGUACCGAUAUUUUAUUGGCAUGAUAUGGUGCGGUAAAUAUGGUUGAUAUCUAUGGACUAAAAUUGGACUGUUAUUAG